RNAcentral lists this long non-coding RNA (469 nucleotides) under Bos grunniens (domestic yak). Its description in RNAcentral is "lncRNA (ENSBGRG00000004976.1)". Lineage: Eukaryota; Metazoa; Chordata; Mammalia; Artiodactyla; Bovidae. The record is from RNAcentral.
ACUUUAACUUCAUUGGUCUCAGGUAGGGCUACAGCUUCAGCCUGUUUAAAAAUGACCCCUCAGGUGAUUGUAAUUUGCAGCUUAGUGCUAAGAAAAGUGCCCCAGGUGAUUCUUAUUUGGAACUGCAAACAAAAAGGGCAAAGAAUACUUGAAGGCUGUAGGAAGAACCUGAAAAUCCAAAAAGGAUUUCUAUAGAAGACAGAAAUGAAGUUAUCUGGAAGUCAGGUUUUUUCUUAUUGUUCAGUUGCUAAGUCAUGUCUGACUCGGUGAUCCCAUGGACUGUAUCCUGCCAGGCUUCUCUGUCCAUGGAAUCCUCCAGUCCUUCAGGUUGACAGGACCACAGCCCAGGCCACAGUCUAUGGGUGAUACCCCUGUGUCCUUGUCACACUUGGCACUGGUGUCACUAAACAGAAGGACUGAUGCUGAGGCUGAAGCUGCAGUACCUUGGCCACCUGAUGAGAAGAACUGA